GCCCUUCGUAUUACCGCGGCUGCUGGCACGGAGUUAGCCGGUGCUUCCUCUGAUGGUACCGUCAAGCUCCGAGGGUAUUAACCCCGGAGUUUUCUUCCCAAUCUGACAGAGCUUUACAAUCUAUAAGACCUUCAUCGCUCACGCGGCGUCGCUCGGUCAGGCUUUCGCCCAUUGCCGAAGCUUCUCGACUGCUGCCUCCCGUAGGAGUCUGGACCGUGUCUCAGUUCCAGUGUGGCCGUUCACCCUCUCAGGCCGGCUACCCAUCGUCGCCUUGGUGAGCAGUUACCUCACCAACUAGCUAAUGGGACGCGAGACCAUCUUAUACCACCGGAGUUUUGACUCAUGUAUCAUGCGAUACUAGAGUUUUAUGGGGUAUUAAUCCCGGUUUCCCGAGGCUAUCCCCCUGUAUAAGGCAGGUUUCUCACGCGUUACUCACCCGUCCGCCGCUUUCCUUCUUUUAAAUCACCCGAAGGUUCAUUAAAAGAAUUCUCGCUCGACUUGCAUGUGUUAGGCACGCCGCCAGCGUUCAUCCUGAGCCAUGAUCAAACUCAAGGGC
Molecule: ribosomal RNA, 556 nt
Filed under: uncultured low G+C Gram-positive bacterium
Lineage: Bacteria; Bacillati; Bacillota
Description: partial 16S ribosomal RNA
Source: RNAcentral